GACGAACGCUGGCGGCGUGCUUAACACAUGCAAGUCGAACGGUGAAGCGCCUUCCUUUUUGGUGGGUGUGGAUGAGUGGCGAACGGGUGAGUAACACGUGAGUAACCUCCCCCCUUCUUCGGGAUAACCGCAGGAAAGUGGGGCUAAUACGGGAUAUUCUGGGCCGGUGGCAUGAUGGGUCUGGGAAGGAUAUGGUUUCGGGGGGGGAGGGGCUCGCGGCCUAUCGGCUUGUUGGGGGGGUGGGGGCCUACCAGGGCGGUGGCGGGUAGCCGGCCUGAGAGGGUGGACGGUCACACUGGGACUGAGCCACGGCCCAGCCUCCUACGGGAGGCAGCAGUGGGGAAUAUUGCACAAUGGGCGCAAGCCUGAUGCAGCGACGCCGCGUGAGGGAUGGAGGCCUUCGGGUUGUGAACCUCUUUCGCCAGUGAAGCAGGCCUGCCUCGUUUGUGGGUGGGUUGACGGUAGCUGGAUAAGAAGCGCCGGCUAACUACGUG
Molecule: ribosomal RNA, 494 nt
Filed under: uncultured bacterium
Lineage: Bacteria
Description: partial 16S ribosomal RNA
Rfam family: Bacterial small subunit ribosomal RNA
Source: RNAcentral